GCGCUAGCUGACAGCCAAGUAGCGUGAAGGAUGAAGGCUCUAUGGGUCGUAAACUUCUUUUAUAUAAGAAUAAAGUGCAGUAUGUAUACUGUUUUGUAUGUAUUAUAUGAAUAAGGAUCGGCUAACUCCGUGCCAGCAGCCGCGGUAAUACGGAGGAUCCGAGCGUUAUCCGGAUUUAUUGGGUUUAAAGGGAGCGUAGGUGGACUGGUAAGUCAGUUGUGAAAGUUUGCGGCUCAACCGUAAAAUUGCAGUUGAUACUGUCAGUCUUGAGUACAGUAGAGGUGGGCGGAAUUCGUGGUGUAGCGGUGAAAUGCUUAGAUAUCACGAAGAACUCCGAUUGCGAAGGCAGCUCACUGGACUGCAACUGACACUGAUGCUCGAAAGUGUGGGUAUCAAACAGGAUUAGAUAC
This 410-nucleotide ribosomal RNA is filed under the name Bacteroides fragilis. RNAcentral describes it as "bacterial SSU rRNA". It matches the Rfam family "Bacterial small subunit ribosomal RNA", at positions 375 to 785 of the family's 1533-position model. The record is from RNAcentral. Lineage: Bacteria; Pseudomonadati; Bacteroidota; Bacteroidia; Bacteroidales; Bacteroidaceae.